This 823-nucleotide ribosomal RNA is filed under the name uncultured organism. RNAcentral describes it as "bacterial SSU rRNA". It matches the Rfam family "Bacterial small subunit ribosomal RNA", at positions 509 to 1337 of the family's 1533-position model. The record is from RNAcentral.
CAGCAGCCGCGGUAAUACGGAGGGUCCAAGCGUUAUCCGGAUUCACUGGGUUUAAAGGGUGCGUAGGUGGAACGAUAAGUCGAUGGUGAAAGCCUACAGCUUAACUGUAGAAUUGCCAUUGAUACUGUUGUUCUUGGGUAUAGUCGGGGGAAGUGGAAUGCGUAAUGUAGCGGUGAAAUGCAUAGAUAUUACGCAGAACACCGAUCGCGAAAGCAGCUUCCUAGGCUAUUACUGACACUGAGGCACGAAAGCGUGGGGAGCGAACAGGAUUAGAUACCCUGGUAGUCCACGCCGUAAACGAUGCUCACUCGCUGUUGGCGAUAUAUUGUCAGCAGUUAAGCUAAAGCAUUAAGUGAGCCACCUGGGAAGUACGUCCGCAAGGAUGAAACUCAAAGGAAUUGACGGGGGCCCGCACAACCGGUGGAACAUGUGGUUCAAUUCGAUGAUACGCGAGGAACCUUACCUGGGCUUAAAUGUAGUUUGACUUCCGCCGAAAGGCGAUUUUCCUUCGGGACAAAUUACAAGGUGCUGCACGGCUGUCGUCAGCUCGUGCCGUGAGGUAUCGGGUUAAGUCCCUUAACGAGCGCAACCCCUAUUGUUAGUUACCAACAGGUUAAGCUGGGGACUCUAGCAAAACUGCCAGCGUAAGCUGGAGGAAGGUGGGGAUGACGUCAAGUCAGCAUGGCCCUUAUGUCCAGGGCUACACACGUGUUACAAUGGCCGAUACAAAGGGCAGCCACCACGCGAGUGGGAGCUAAUCCUUAAAAUCGGUCUCAGUUCGGAUCGAAGUCUGCAAUUCGACUUCGUGAAGGUGGAAUCGGUA